UAAAUGCCUCCCACGUACUCAUUGAAAAC
RNAcentral lists this non-coding RNA (29 nucleotides) under Bombyx mori (domestic silkworm). Lineage: Eukaryota; Metazoa; Arthropoda; Insecta; Lepidoptera; Bombycidae. The record is from RNAcentral.